UAGGGAAUCUUCCACAAUGGACACAAGUCUGAUGGAGCAACGCCGCGUGAGUGAAGAAGGGUUUCGGCUCGUAAAGCUCUGUUGGUAGUGAAGAAAGAUAGAGGUAGUAACUGGCCUUUAUUUGACGGUAAUUACUUAGAAAGUCACGGCUAACUACGUGCCAGCAGCCGCGGUAAUACGUAGGUGGCAAGCGUUGUCCGGAUUUAUUGGGCGUAAAGCGAGUGCAGGCGGUUCAAUAAGUCUGAUGUGAAAGCCUUCGGCUCAACCGGAGAAUUGCAUCAGAAACUGUUGAACUUGAGUGCAGAAGAGGAGAGUGGAACUCCAUGUGUAGCGGUGGAAUGCGUAGAUAUAUGGAAGAACACCAGUGGCGAAGGCGGCUCUCUGGUCUGCAACUGACGCUGAGGCUCGAAAGCAUGGGUAGCGAACAGGAUUAGAUACCCUGGUAGUCCAUGCCGUAAACGAUGAGUGCUAAGUGUUGGGAGGUUUCCGCCUCUCAGUGCUGCAGCUAACGCAUUAAGCACUCCGCCUGGGGAGUACGACCGCAAGGUUGAAACUCAAAGGAAUUGACGGGGGCCCGCACAAGCGGUGGAGCAUGUGGUUUAAUUCGAAGCAACGCGAAGAACCUUACCAGGUCUUGACAUCCAGUGCAAACCUAAGAGAUUAGGAGUUCCCUUCGGGGACGCUGAGACAGGUGGUGCAUGGCUGUCGUCAGCUCGUGUCGUGAGAUGUUGGGUUAAGUCCCGCAACGAGCGCAACCCUUGUCAUUAGUUGCCAUCAUUAAGUUGGGCACUCUAAUGAGACUGCCGGUGACAAACCGGAGGAAGGUGGGGAUGACGUCAAGUCAUCAUGCCCCUUAUGACCUGGGCUACACACGUGCUACAAUGGACGGUACAACGAGAAGCGAACCUGCGAAGGCAAGCGGAUCUCUGAAAGCCGUUCUCAGUUCGGACUGUAGGCUGCAACUCGCCUACACGAAGCUGGAAUCGCUAGUAAUCGCGGAUCAGCACGCCGCGGUGAAUACGUUCCCGGGCCU
This 1033-nucleotide ribosomal RNA is filed under the name uncultured Lactobacillus sp. RNAcentral describes it as "bacterial SSU rRNA". It matches the Rfam family "Bacterial small subunit ribosomal RNA", at positions 355 to 1381 of the family's 1533-position model. The record is from RNAcentral. Lineage: Bacteria; Bacillati; Bacillota; Bacilli; Lactobacillales; Lactobacillaceae.